GAUGAACGCUGGCGGCGUGCCUAAUACAUGCAAGUCGAGCGAACGGACGAGAAGCUUGCUUCGCUGCUGUUAGCGGCGGGCGGGUGAGUAACACGUGGAUAACCUACCUAUAAGGCUGGGAUAAGUUCGGGAAACCGGAUCUAAUACCCGUUAAUAUUUUGAACCUCAUGGUUCAUAAGUGAAAGACGGUCUUGCUGUCACUUAUAGAUGGAUCCGCGCUGCAUUAGCUAGUUGGUAAGGUAACGGCUUACCAAGGCAACGAUGCAUAGCUGACCUGAGAGGGUGAUCAGCCACACUGGAACUGAGACACGGUCCAGACUCCUACGGGAGGCAGCAGUAGGGAAUAUUGCGCAAUGGGCGAAAGCCUGACGCAGCAACGCCGCGUGUGUGAUGAAGGUCUUCGGAUCGUAAAACUCUGUUAGUAGGGAAGAACAGAAGUAUGAGUAACUGUGCAUAUCUUGACGGUACCUAAUCAGAAAGCAACGGCUAACUACGUG
This 497-nucleotide ribosomal RNA is filed under the name uncultured bacterium. Its description in RNAcentral is "partial 16S ribosomal RNA". It matches the Rfam family "Bacterial small subunit ribosomal RNA", at positions 28 to 507 of the family's 1533-position model. The record is from RNAcentral.